CAGGAGGACCGGGCGGUCGCUGCCGACGGGUUCGCGCAAGCGAAGUUCGCCGGGGGAGGAAAGUCCGAACUCCGCAGGGCAGUGUGCCGGAUAACGUCCGGGACGUGAGCGUCAAGGCUCAUGGACGGCCAGUGCCACAGAAAAGAUACCGCCUCGGCUACCCCUCCCCCGAUUCUUCGGAACCGGUUGAGGGCAACCCUGAAGCAGCUUGCUGCUUUGGCGCCGGGGUAAGGGUGAAAUGGUGCGGUAAGAGCGCACCGCUCGCGCCCGUAAGGGCCGGGGUCAAGGUAAACCCCACACGGAGCAAGACCAAAUAGGGAGGGAAGCGCAAGCCAUAGAGCCAGGCAAGCGCUGCGCACCGGCCCGGUGCGCCCAGGCGGCUCGAGCCAUUGCCGAAACCUCCGGGUAGGUCGCUGAUGAACGUCCGCGGCAACGCGGCGUCUAGAGGAAUGACCGCACACGACAGAAUUCGGCUUACAGGAUCUUCCUGCCGA
This 494-nucleotide RNase P RNA is filed under the name Occallatibacter sp. RNAcentral's name for it is "RNase P RNA component class A". It matches the Rfam family "Bacterial RNase P class A". From Rfam's summary of the family: Ribonuclease P (RNase P) is a ubiquitous endoribonuclease, found in archaea, bacteria and eukarya as well as chloroplasts and mitochondria. Its best characterised activity is the generation of mature 5'-ends of tRNAs by cleaving the 5'-leader elements of precursor-tRNAs. Cellular RNase Ps are ribonucleoproteins. Lineage: Bacteria; Pseudomonadati; Acidobacteriota; Terriglobia; Terriglobales; Acidobacteriaceae. The record is from RNAcentral.